Molecule: long non-coding RNA, 2788 nt
Organism: Oncorhynchus keta (chum salmon)
Lineage: Eukaryota; Metazoa; Chordata; Actinopteri; Salmoniformes; Salmonidae
Exons: 3
Source: RefSeq, a predicted model, not a curated record
CCACAUAGUCUCUUUCCAUAACCCUCCAACUAACCUUCAUGCUAACUUGUGAGUGGUGUGAUGUGGGAGUGUGUUUAGUAGUGAAUGCUGAUACCAGCAUGGUCGGAAGAGAGCAGAGAUGUCAUCGAUUCUUGUUCAUCCCUUCUCUCUGCAACUCUUUUCAUGAGCCAAUGUGAGCGAGUGUAUGUUUAUCACAGUCCCUGUGUCAGGGAUGCAAACUCGUCACUUUUGACGAUAUUUGCCGUUUUGAGCUCAAAAUAGGUAAUCCACGUGAAUCGUGUAGAUCCAUAAAAAUAACUUUUGUGGUGGUUGAACUACAAAAGAGAGGCGCGAACUGAUCUUCUCCCUGAUCACCACCAGAGAUACUGGAUAUAGUGAUGGGAUGCUUGUGUCUCCGCCCUUAACAAUGGGAUACGUUGUCCACAGAGCGGAACGGCGGGCUGUCAAGUUCCCGCCUGUUCCGCUCUUUUUAGGGAGGGAUAAUUCACGGGCUGCUGCGUUGUCACAAUGGGAACUCUUUCUAGAGCACCUGGUUAAAUUGUUCAUAACAGUAGGGUGUUAGGUGACGCGGCCAACAAUGAACGCUAUACGAUAAUAAUACAUUUAAAAAACGCAGGCUAAUCAAAUCCAUUUAAACUAAAUGUCAAUAAUGUGAUCAUCAAAAUACAUAGUAAAUCAUUUCAAAACACGAACAUGUUUUCAGUCUACAUGGUUAAUGUAGUGAGAAAUAUGUGAUUAUUGUAAAAGUUUGCGAGUGCAUCAUUUACAAUCAUCCUGAAUUAAAAUAUGGAAUAAUUUUUGCCAUAUUAAAUUAUUUUAUAUGUGCUAUUUUCCUUGAUGUGUGUUAUUACACAAGCUCAUGUUCUGAACACAUCAAAUAGGGGGAAUUACUCAUCCCUUUUACAUCAGACUGGUGGUGAUUAAAACAACUCAAUCUAUUUGUGGGCGGCAGGGUAGCCUAGUGGUUAGAGCGUUGGACUAGUAAUCGAAAGGCUGCAAGUUCAAAUCCCAGAGCUGGCAAGGUACAAAUCUGUCGUUCUGCCCCUGAACAUCCACUGGAAAAUAGCAUAUAUAAAAUAAUUUAAGAUGGCAAAAAUUAUUCCAGCCAGGCCGUCAUUGAAAAUAAGAAUUUGUUCUUAACUGACUUGCCUAGUUAAAUAAAGGUUUAUAAAAACUUUUUUUUUUAAAUGUUGUGUGCACUUGUAUGAUUGUGUGUGGGAGGGGGUACACUGUAUGCUACUGACCUUAAUCCCCAAAAACCCAAAUAACUGCCAGGUGUGUGUUUGAAGAGGGUGGUGGGGUGUCUGUGUUUACUUCUGUAUCUAUGCCACUCGUAUGUCUGUAUUUUAUUUUGUGGGGCACAUUGCGCCCCACUAAACUAAUGCACUGCCAGGGAUAGCUGUCACUUUGGUGUGUGGGAAGAAGGAGAUGACACACUGCAGCAGUGCUAGUAUGAAGGUAGAUCGUAUGGAGUGUAGGGGAAGUCAGGAUUUUGCUAGUGUUUAUCUAUUGAAAGGCCAUGUAAGGUUAGUGUUGACUAAUGGCAUAAUGCUGGUGAGCCGGGCACAAUCAGGUGAUUGUCCCAUGGUCCUGAGUUUACAUAUCAGCAAAGGUACUGUAUCAUGUUGUUUUUGAGAAACUUGGUGGAUCACAGGUUGACAGGCUACUAGGUCCAACGCUCUAAGUGGGCUUACGUGGUUUUGUAGGCACAUGUUUCAUUGCAAUGCGGUGAAGAUCUGGUUGGAGAGCUGCACUGCUCUCUGCUUCCCAUGUUGAAGGAGUACGUUAUGGUUUCCCAGGGCAGCCAAACCAUUGUCCACAAGCAGCUUGAAGUGAUCACCACAUUCAUGGCAUGCUUUCUCAAGGCUGAGCAUCACCACACCUAAGAAGCUCAUGGAGAUGAACUUCAUUGACAAGAUGCUGCCCUCCAGAGAAUUGUAUGAUGGAUCAGUGUCUGAGAAACCUAAGGCAGAACAUCCAGGACACCCUAUUGUGCAAAUGUUUCUUAAUGUGGUGAAGACUGCAUACAUGACAACUGCAGCCUACAUGCAGAAGAAAAUGCCCCUGGACAGCAUGACCCUGCAAUUGCUCUCUGCACACGACCCAGUGGUGAGAGGCCAUUCACAGACUGGCAUCCUGUUGAAGCGGCUUGCUAGGAUGAUGGACCACCCAGUUCCACCCGAAUUUCAGCCUCCACUGGAAGUCGUGAAGUUUAAUGUGGAUUCUACCCUUCCCCCUUACAAGGAUGGUGAGGACAACAUGGUCAAGUGGUGGGGCCUGAACCAGAUUUUACUAGUGUCUCUCUCCCUCAAUCUUCCAUGGUCCUAUUGUGGAGUCUUCGUUUAAUGUGAUGGGAGACAUCACAGCUCAAAAGAGCAUGAACACGGCUACCUUCAAUGCAAUUCAGACCACCAAAUAUAUCCACAGGUCCAGGAGUCUGACUGCCUUACAGAUGUUCCAGAGACAUGAUGUCAAGUUGAGCAAGGGACUCUAAGUACAUCCGCACUGCAGGAAGGAAGGAUAAAGCUCAGAGACAGGAGAACCUGAUGAAGAGGGAGGGAUAUGGUUGCCAGCCAACAUCCAGUGCCCAGCAGACCAGGAAGACUGCAGUGGAGGAGGAGAAGCAGGCCAGACUGAGGACACAGCUGAACAAAGAAAAAUAGCAAAAUCAUUUUUAGUCGAAGCUAAAAGGAAGGAAGCUAAAAUGUGGAUUGUAGGUGGGUGUAGGCUAGAUGUGAGUGAUAACCUGUUACUGUUUAUUUUGAGCUUCAAAAUAAAAUAAUCUUCU